GCGAGUCGAAUGUAGCAAUACAUGGCGUACUGCUCAGUAACACGUGGACAACCUACCCUUAGGACGGGGAUAAACCCGGGAAACUGGGUAUAAUACCCGAUAGUCCUCGGCUGCUGGAAUGCACCGAGUACUAAAAGCUCCGGCGCCUAAGGAUGGGUCUGCGGCCUAUCAGGUAGUAGUGGGUGUAGCGUACCUACUAGCCUACGACGGGUACGGGUUGUGAGAGCAAGAGCCCGGAGAUGGAUUCUGAGACACGAAUCCAGGCCCUACGGGGUGCAGCAGGCGCGAAAACUUUACAAUGCUGGCAACAGCGAUAAGGGGACCUCGAGUGCCAGGUUACAAAUCUGGCUGUCGUGAUGCCUAAAAAGCAUUGCAUAGCAAGGGCCGGGCAAGACCGGUGCCAGCCGCCGCGGUAACACCGGCGGCUCGAGUGGUAACCGUAUUAUUGGGUCUAAAGGGUCUGUAGCCGGCCGGAUAAGUCUCUUGGGAAAUCUGGCAGCUUAACUGUCAGGCUUUCAGGAGAUACUGU
Molecule: ribosomal RNA, 529 nt
Filed under: uncultured archaeon
Lineage: Archaea
Description: bacterial SSU rRNA
Rfam family: Archaeal small subunit ribosomal RNA
Source: RNAcentral